This 409-nucleotide long non-coding RNA is filed under the name Homo sapiens (human). RNAcentral describes it as "non-protein coding lnc-ADAM8-1:12". Lineage: Eukaryota; Metazoa; Chordata; Mammalia; Primates; Hominidae. The record is from RNAcentral.
GUCUGUGGGGAGCUUCGUUCCAGGUCCAGAGAAGGUGAUGUCCAGGCUAGAGCCGGGAGUGCCUGGGGGACCCAUGUCAGCUGUGUCUGUUUCCUCCCAGGUCAUCAAGCCAACGUUCGCACCCCCAGUGCCCCCAGUCAAACCCGGGGCUGGUGCGGCCAACCCUGGUCCAGCUGAGGGUGCUGUUGGCCCAAAGGUUGCCCUGAAGCCCCCCAUCCAGAGGAAGCAAGGAGCCGGAGCUCCCACAGCACCCUAGGGGGGCACCUGCGCCUGUGUGGAAAUUUGGAGAAGUUGCGGCAGAGAAGCCAUGCGUUCCAGCAUUCCACGGUCCAGCUAGUGCCGCUCAGCCCUAGACCCUGACUUUGCAGGCUCAGCUGCUGUUCUAACCUCAGGAAUGCAUCUACCUGAG